This 74-nucleotide transfer RNA is filed under the name Spermatozopsis similis. Its description in RNAcentral is "tRNA-Met". It matches the Rfam family "tRNA". Rfam says of the family: Transfer RNA (tRNA) molecules are approximately 80 nucleotides in length. Their secondary structure includes four short double-helical elements and three loops (D, anti-codon, and T loops). Lineage: Eukaryota; Viridiplantae; Chlorophyta; Chlorophyceae; Chlamydomonadales; Dunaliellaceae. The record is from RNAcentral.
CGCAGGAUAGAGCAGUCUGGUAGCUCGUGGGGCUCAUAACCCUAAGGUCACAGGUUCGAAUCCUGUUCCUGCUA